ACAAAUACGUGUGCACACACACACACACACACACAGCUUACCAGCAGUUCCAACCUCCACCGUCUGCUCUGUCUCCGUGACCGGCCUAUAAAUGAAAUUUACGCAUGUGCAGUUGUUUCUGUGCCUGUUUGUGUGUGUGUGUGUGCAUGUGUAGUUGU
Molecule: non-coding RNA, 158 nt
Organism: Xyrichtys novacula (pearly razorfish)
Lineage: Eukaryota; Metazoa; Chordata; Actinopteri; Labriformes; Labridae
Source: the annotation of a GenBank genome assembly